ACCGGCGCACGGGUGCGUAACGCGUAUGCAACCUACCUCUAACUGGGGAAUAGCCCCGAGAAAUCGGGAUUAAUACCUCAUAACAUUUAUCAUUCGCAUGUUUGAUAAAUUAAAGUUUCGACGGUUAGAGAUGGGCAUGCGUGACAUUAGCUAGUUGGUGAGGUAACGGCUCACCAAGGCUGCGAUGUCUAGGGGUUCUGAGAGGAUUUUCCCCCACACUGGUACUGAGACACGGACCAGACUCCUACGGGAGGCAGCAGUAAGGAAUAUUGGGCAAUGGACGAAAGUCUGACCCAGCCAUGCCGCGUGCAGGAUGACGGCCCUACGGGUUGUAAACUGCUUUUGUAUAGGAAGAAACCUCACUACGUGUAGUGGGCUGACGGUACUAUACGAAUAAGCACCGGCUAACUCCGUGCCAGCAGCCGCGGUAAUACGGAGGGUGCAAGCGUUAUCCGGAUUUAUUGGGUUUAAAGGGUGCGCAGGCGGAAUGAUUAGUCAGUGGUGAAAUCCUACAGCUCAACUGUAGAACUGCCAUUGAUACUGUCAUUCUUGAGUACAGUUGAAGUGGGCGGAAUGUAUCAUGUAGCGGGUGAAAUGCAUAGAUAUGAUACAGAACUCCCUAUAGCGAAGGCAGCUCACUAAACUGUUACUGACGCUCAGCACGAAAGCGUGGGGAGCAAACAGGAUUAGAUACCC
This 696-nucleotide ribosomal RNA is filed under the name uncultured bacterium. RNAcentral's name for it is "bacterial SSU rRNA". It matches the Rfam family "Bacterial small subunit ribosomal RNA", at positions 94 to 787 of the family's 1533-position model. The record is from RNAcentral.